UCAUCAAGUGGUGCCGGGGUAAUUAAAACUCUGAGUUCUUAUAGCUUCAGAGUUUUGUUACCCUUGCUCCAUAUGGG
This 77-nucleotide microRNA precursor is filed under the name Branchiostoma floridae (Florida lancelet). RNAcentral describes it as "mir-4872 microRNA precursor family". It matches the Rfam family "mir-4872 microRNA precursor family". Lineage: Eukaryota; Metazoa; Chordata; Leptocardii; Amphioxiformes; Branchiostomatidae. The record is from Rfam by way of RNAcentral.